RNAcentral lists this ribosomal RNA (722 nucleotides) under uncultured bacterium. RNAcentral describes it as "bacterial SSU rRNA". It matches the Rfam family "Bacterial small subunit ribosomal RNA", at positions 136 to 851 of the family's 1533-position model. The record is from RNAcentral.
CAGCGGGAUACCCCGGAGAAAUCCGGCCUAAUACCGCAUGUGGCCGAGGGGAGGCAUCUUCUUUCGGCCAAAGGAGGCGACUCCGGAGACGGAUGGGCAUGCGUGACAUUAGCUUGUUGGCGGGGUAACGGCCCACCAAGGCGACGAUGUCUAGGGGUUCUGAGAGGAAGGUCCCCCACACUGGUACUGAGACACGGACCAGACUCCUACGGGAGGCAGCAGUGAGGAAUAUUGGUCAAUGGGCGAGAGCCUGAACCAGCCAAGUCGCGUGAAGGAUGACGGCCCUACGGGUUGUAAACUUCUUUUGUCAGGGAGCAAUUGAGUCCACGUGUGGGCUUAGCGAGAGUACCUGAAGAAAAAGCAUCGGCUAACUCCGUGCCAGCAGCCGCGGUAAUACGGAGGAUGCGAGCGUUAUCCGGAUUUAUUGGGUUUAAAGGGUGCGUAGGCGGAAUAUCAAGUCAGCGGUAAAAAUUCGGGGCUCAACCCCGUCGUGCCGUUGAAACUGAUGUUCUUGAGUGGGCGAGAAGUAUGCGGAAUGCGUGGUGUAGCGGUGAAAUGCAUAGAUAUCACGCAGAACUCCGAUUGCGAAGGCAGCAUACCGGCGCCCAACUGACGCUGAAGCACGAAAGCGUGGGUAUCGAACAGGAUUAGAUACCCUGGUAGUCCACGCAGUAAACGAUGAAUACUGAUUGUCCGGAGGGAUUGACCUCUGGGUGAUACAG